AGAUCCAAGUGUUAAAGCCAAUCAAAGCCUUUCUCCUCACCCUCAAGCAGCUGUUUUUGGCUGGAAAAAAUGGCUUCCUCUCUGCUUUCUCACUCCAGCCUUUUACUCAAAGGAUCAUCCAAGGUUCUUCCAUCCCCAACAAUGGCAGCUCACAGGUUGCCUAUGUUGCAAAAGAUGAAGAAGGGAGGGGUAAAGUGUAGGGUGGAAGAGAAGGCAGAAGGAAAGAAGUCAGAAGAAAGCAUGGUUUCGGGGACGGUGGCAACGGUGGUGAUGGCUGCAUUGGCAGCAGCGGGUCCGGCAGUGGCGCUGGUGGAUGAGAGGUUGAGCACAGAAGGCACAGGGCUGCCUUUUGGCUUAAGCAACAACCUUCUUGGGUGG
Molecule: unclassified non-coding RNA, 378 nt
Filed under: Hevea brasiliensis (rubber tree)
Lineage: Eukaryota; Viridiplantae; Streptophyta; Magnoliopsida; Malpighiales; Euphorbiaceae
Source: RNAcentral